Molecule: ribosomal RNA, 440 nt
Filed under: uncultured bacterium
Lineage: Bacteria
Description: partial 16S ribosomal RNA
Rfam family: Bacterial small subunit ribosomal RNA
Source: RNAcentral
CCUACGGGAGGCAGCAGUAGGGAAUAUUGCUCAAUGGGGGAAACCCUGAAGCAGCAACGCCGCGUGGAGGAUGAAGGUUUUCGGAUUGUAAACUCCUUUUGUUAGAGAAGAUAAUGACGGUAUCUAACGAAUAAGCACCGGCUAACUCCGUGCCAGCAGCCGCGGUAAUACGGAGGGUGCAAGCGUUACUCGGAAUCACUGGGCGUAAAGAGCGAGUAGGCGGGAUAGCAAGUCAGAUGUGAAAUCCUAUGGCUUAACCAUAGAACUGCAUUUGAAACUGUUAUUCUAGAGUAUGGUAGAGGUAGGUGGAAUUCUUGGUGUAGGGGUAAAAUCCGUAGAGAUCAAGAGGAAUACUCAUUGCGAAGGCGACCUGCUAGAACAUAACUGACACUGAUGCGCGAAAGCGUGGGUAGCAAACAGGAUUAGAUACCCCAGUAGUC